Camellia sinensis is the source of this 1572-nucleotide non-coding RNA. The record is from RefSeq and is a predicted model, not a curated record. NCBI's taxonomy places the organism in Eukaryota, Viridiplantae, Streptophyta, Magnoliopsida, Ericales, Theaceae.
UCUAUCAAUCAUUAAAGAAGUUACUGAAGCAUGAGGAUGUUUUAGGAUUCUACAAGUAAGUUUAGGAUUCUACAAGUGGUGAGGAAUAUAUAAUCACUUCGAGAUUUCAUUUUGGAUUUAUUGAUUCUAUGUAUAUUUGGUUUUAUGACUGUAAAAUAUCUGGCUUUGGAUUUAUUGAUUCUAUGUAUGUAUCAUAUCGAUAUGGUAAUCCAAACAUUUAUACUAGUAACAAUCAAAGUGGUUAUUCUUUUUCUAUUGAUGCAAGAGAUGAAGAGACGGCUGUUUUCACCCUCCAUUACCAAGCGAACCAACCAAAAAAUUGGGUUUUGGAAGGGGCAACAUUAAACCAUUAUAGCUUAGGCACAAGCAAAUUGGAUCCAUGUUGGUCUUCAGCCCACCUUCUGAUAGCAGCCACAGAACUUUGAGUUGAGAACAUGGAAGCAAGAUCAAAGAGUUGAAGAAGAAAUAUGUUACAAGAAAUGUGAUCAAUACAAGAAGAAAUGCUCCUAAUUUUAAGCAAAACAGAGCUAGCAGCAGCAAGGCAGAAUCAACAGCAACAAGGCAAAGACACACUCCCACACAGCACCUGCGCAGCUAUUCAUAGCAGCUAAACUAAAGCAAACACAACACAAACCAGAAUUUAUAGACAUUAACAGCAGGCGGACACGACACCUGGAUAGAUUUACACAGCAGAUCACAUGACACUCCAGUAGAAUGUGUAGACAGACCACCAGAGUUUAGCCUAACCAGUUCCAUAUUUGAGCAUGUCGUUAGAACUAAUGGAGAAAUACCUUCUGUUGAUGAAGCAACUUUAGACCAUCAAAGAUUAUUGGACAGCUGUGGGAUUUUUAUUUCAUAUAUAUAGUUUUUGAUGCUGGAGAUGUCUGUUCUUCUUCAGAUUGCAAUUAUUUGAGUUGGUGGAGUUUAUGGUUCAUGGAGAUGGAAAUUGUCAGGGUUUUUAAUAACAAUGAACUCAGUGGCAAGAUUCCUUCAACGCUAGGACUACUGCAGACUUUGGAAAUAUUUUUGAAGUUUCUUUUCCCAUUGUGCUAGCAAGUUCAGUCAUGUUUACUCUUAAGGGAAAGGAUAAUGGUCUAAGUAAUACCGUGGAUCCCCUAUUUAUUUUCAUAAUGGGAUGUUGGAGAGAUUUAUAUAUAUUAUGAAAUUACAGUACUAUGUUUAGUAAGAGUUGGGAUGGAGGAAAGUUAAUCCGACGAGUACUCGUGCGAAAUUAAUUAUGCCAAGGCCCUGAGAAAUUUAACCCAUGGUUUUGAGGGAGUAUUAAUCUGUCCGCACAACUAAUCCCCUUAUUGGUGAAUCAAAUGUGAGACAUUACAAAAUUAGGAGACAAAUCCUAAACAUAUGGGGUCUUAUGUUUUUUAGUUUAAUACCCUAAUCCUGACACAAUCAUGUCGAAAAGGGUAGAAUAUGUAUAUGUUUAUCUUUCAUCUUCAAUGUUGAUAUGUACAAGAUGUUUUGAAGCUUUAAGUUUUCAGGAAAAGAAGAGGUUGUGAAAGCAAAUAAAGCACAAACACUUGUGUAAAAAGAGAUUGGUAGCAUGCUUGUUUAAAU